Molecule: unclassified non-coding RNA, 691 nt
Filed under: Peltigera neorufescens (nom. ined.)
Lineage: Eukaryota; Fungi; Ascomycota; Lecanoromycetes; Peltigerales; Peltigeraceae
Description: Peltigera neorufescens sequence contains ITS1, 5.8S rRNA gene and ITS2
Rfam family: 5.8S ribosomal RNA (bases 300-454)
Source: RNAcentral
UUUCCGUAGGUGAACCUGCGGAAGGAUCNUUAAUGAGGGCGUGUGGGCUAAUAUCCCCGCGAACCCUAACCCUCUGUUUACUGCCCCAUUGUGGUUUUUACUUGGGCGCGGUUGGGCCUUUUUUUUUUUUUUUUUUAAGRAAAGRAAAGAGAGAAAGAGCUUUUGUGAUAUGCCCAAAAGGCUGCCACAAUUUYCCUUUCCWUCCCCCCCCACCCAAAAAAAAAAAUAAAAACAAUCACACAAAAAUAAAAAUCUGAUAACAAAUAUUUGAUGUCUGAAGUAAAAUCUUAAAUAAGCAAAACUUUCAACAACGGAUCUCUUGGUUCCGGCAUCGAUGAAGAACGCAGCGAAAUGCGAUAAGUAAUGUGGACCGCAGUACUCAGCGACUCAUCGAAUCUUUGAACGCACAUUGCGCCACUUGGUAUCACCAAAGGGCACACCUGUUCGAGCGUCAUCAUACAUCGCAUCAAGUCAAGGGCCCGGCUUGCAAAUGGGCUUUGUCUGCUUUAUGUAGAAGUCUAAAAGUCAGUGGCGGUUUAAGUUAGGCAUUCCAGCGUAGUGGGAUUAAAUUAGCUGUUGAAAUGUCUUUUACUUGACAGCCAAAAUGUCCAGGUUUUCUGCUGGCGGAGACCCCCAGGGUUUCUGUUGGCGGGAGACCCUUGGAUUUUAUCAACUAUGACCUCGGAUCAGG